This is a long non-coding RNA of Fukomys damarensis (Damara mole-rat), 333 nucleotides long. RefSeq lists it as uncharacterized. The record is from RefSeq and is a predicted model, not a curated record. NCBI's taxonomy places the organism in Eukaryota, Metazoa, Chordata, Mammalia, Rodentia, Bathyergidae. The transcript is spliced from 3 exons.
UCCUUCACUCUCCGGGAGACAACAAAGGAGCUGGCUAUGUUAAUCAUCUGGAAGAAGGGGUUCCCAGUAAAAACAACAUAAAAUACAAAGAUGCAGCUUAACUUAUUUAAGAAAAAAAAAGAAGAAGAAGAGGGACACUGAAGAUAAAAGGAACUCCACAAAGCCCUGAGAAGUCAAUUAAAUUUAAAGAGUAAGUGGAAAUCCUAGAAAACAAGAUCCUGAAGAGUGAAAAGACUUGAGCAACAUGCAGGAUUAGUGAGAUCCUCGUGUCACAAAUCCCUCAAAGCUUCUUGACUGUUGAAGCCAACUAAGUCCCUUCGAAAACCUACUGCG